CGGACGGGUGAGUAAUGCCUAGGAAUCUGCCUGGUAGUGGGGGACAACGUUUCGAAAGGAACGCUAAUACCGCAUACGUCCUACGGAGAAAGCAGGGGACCUUCGGGCCUUGCGCUAUCAGAUGAGCCUAGGUCGGAUUAGCUAGUUUGUGAGGUAAUGGCUCACCAAGGCGACGAUCCGUAACUGGUCUGAGAGGAUGAUCAGUCACACUGGAACUGAGACACGGUCCAGACUCCUACGGGAGGCAGCAGUA
RNAcentral lists this ribosomal RNA (253 nucleotides) under uncultured Pseudomonas sp. RNAcentral's name for it is "partial 16S ribosomal RNA". It matches the Rfam family "Bacterial small subunit ribosomal RNA", at positions 99 to 355 of the family's 1533-position model. The record is from RNAcentral. Lineage: Bacteria; Pseudomonadati; Pseudomonadota; Gammaproteobacteria; Pseudomonadales; Pseudomonadaceae.